Molecule: ribosomal RNA, 460 nt
Filed under: uncultured bacterium
Lineage: Bacteria
Description: partial 16S ribosomal RNA
Rfam family: Bacterial small subunit ribosomal RNA
Source: RNAcentral
CCUACGGGAGGCAGCAGUGAGGAAUAUUGGUCAAUGGACGAGAGUCUGAACCAGCCAAGUAGCGUGAAGGAUGACUGCCCUAUGGGUUGUAAACUUCUUUUAUAAAGGAAUAAAACGAGGCACGUGUGCCUUUUUGCAUGUACUUUAUGAAUAAGGAUCGGCUAACUCCGUGCCAGCAGCCGCGGUAAUACGGAGGAUCCGAGCGUUAUCCGGAUUUAUUGGGUUUAAAGGGAGCGUAGAUUGGUUGUUAAGUCAGUUGUUAAAGUUUGCGGCGCAACCGUAAAAUUGCAAUUGAUACUGGCAGUCUUGAGUACAGUUGAGGUAGGCGGAAUUCGUGGGGUAGCGGUGAAAUGCUUAGAUAUCACGAAGAACCCCGAUUGCGAAGGCAGCUUACUAAACUGUGACUGACAUUGAUGCUCGAAAGUGUGGGUAUCAAACAGGAUUAGAUACCCUAGUAGUC